Hippocampus comes (tiger tail seahorse) is the source of this 839-nucleotide long non-coding RNA. RefSeq lists it as uncharacterized. Lineage: Eukaryota; Metazoa; Chordata; Actinopteri; Syngnathiformes; Syngnathidae. The record is from RefSeq and is a predicted model, not a curated record. The transcript is spliced from 4 exons.
CGAGAGAGAGAGCACAGUUACUGGAGGAGAGUGCAGCACGCGUGACACCAGUGGCGGGAGGCCAGAGUCAGAGCGCCGCCUGUGUGAAGGCAGCGGUCGACGAGGUCACCGCUCUGUGCGCUAAACAAUGCUGCUGGUGUGGCGGAAGCUCGGGCUGCAGGACAAUGGAGGGGGUUAUAAGUGAGGUUGACUCCGUUUUGGAAUGAGGAAAUUCCAUCAACAAAAGUACCUCAAAAGUGUCAUGGAUGCGCUCAUCAGUAGAGGCGAAGCAUAUUGUAAUGUCAAAACACUGUGAUUGAGGAGUGAAGUCUUCAAGGAGCCAAACACCGUCGUGGAGUGAAAAUGGCAGCCUCGCUCUUUGGAGAGCAGCAUGGCAAUCAGCAUCGCGGCCGCCUGCGUGAAAAUGUCAAGACGAUCCAUGUGACCUGACGCAUGCGGUCAUCAUCUGCCUAUGAGCAGCAGAAGCGUCUCCUCAUCUCCAUCGCCUUAGGCCCCUUCAGGUGAGCUGUCGUUGCCUCAAGCUGCUUGUCCCGUCUGAAUAAGGCCAAUUACUUUGGAGGAGCAUGAGGGCCAUUCUGAUAAAGUCAAAGAUCAGCUACUUUGAACCAAAAAGUCCCGGGGCCAUAUUCUCCUGUUAGCACUAAAGUCAUUUUUUUUAAUCCCCCUGGCUCGCACACUCUGACCCUUUUUGAUGUUUUUCCUUCCCAUUUUCUGUCUUAAAAUUCCAAUUCUCAUAUUAAAACUUUGUCUCAUAGCAAGAGAACUUGCUCAUAGUAUACCAUGUUCCCCCAAUCAAAUGAUAACUUUAUUCAAAAUAAAUGGGACAUUUUUACUCAUUA